RNAcentral lists this ribosomal RNA (813 nucleotides) under uncultured bacterium. Its description in RNAcentral is "bacterial SSU rRNA". It matches the Rfam family "Bacterial small subunit ribosomal RNA", at positions 8 to 796 of the family's 1533-position model. The record is from RNAcentral.
AGAGUUUGAUCMUGGCUCAGAACAAACGCUGGCGGCGUGCCUAACACAUGCAAGUCGUACGWGAAAGGGUCCUUCGGGAYCUGAGUAAAGUGGCGCACGGGUGAGUAACGCGUGGAUAAUCUGCCCCUCAGYCGGGAAUAACUCAUCGAAAGGUGGGCUAAUACCCGAUAAYGCUGCAUCYACCUCGGUGGAUCAGCCAAAGAGAGCCUCUGUUUACAUGCCCUCACUGAAGGAUGAGUCCGCGUACCAUUAGCUWGUUGGUGGGGUAAURGCCUACCAAGGCGACGAUGGUUAGCUGGUCUGAGAGGAUGAUCAGCCACACUGGAACUGAGACACGGUCCAGACUCCUACGGGAGGCAGCAGUGAGGAAUCUUGCGCAAUGGGGGMAACCCUGACGCAGCAACGCCGCGUGAGUGAGGAAGGUUUUCGGAUCGUAAAGCUCUGUCGGGUGGAAAGAAAYGCAUGGGGRUYAAUACCCCUCAUGCUUGACGGUACCACCAGAGGAAGCACCGGCURACUCCGUGCCAGCAGCCGCGGUAAUACGGGGGGUGCAAGCGUUGUUCGGAAUUAUUGGGCGUAAAGAGCGUGUAGGCGGCUUGGYAAGUCAGAUGUGAAAUCCCUGGGCUUAACCCAGGAAGUGCAUUUGAAACUGCCAGGCUUGAGUAGGGGAGAGGGAAGUGGAAUUCCUGGUGUAGAGGUGAAAUUCGUAGAUAUCAGGAGGAACACCGGCGGCGAAGGCGACUUCCUGGCCCUAUACUGACGCUGAGACGCGAGAGCGUGGGUAGCAAACAGGAUUAGAUACCCUGGUAGUCC